GAUGAACGCUAGCGGCAGGCCUAACACAUGCAAGUCGAGGGAGAGGUUACCUUCGGGUAACCAAAACCGGCUCACGGGUGCGUAACGCGUAUACAAUCUGCCUUUCACAUAGGGAUAGCCCGAAGAAAUUUGGAUUAAUACCUAAUGGUAUAUAAGAGCGGCAUCGUUUUUAUAUUAAAGCUACGUUGGUGAAAGAUGAGUAUGCGUUCUAUUAGCUAGUUGGAGAGGUAACGGCUCCCCAAGGCGACGAUAGAUAGGGGUUCUGAGAGGGAUGUCCCCCACACGGGGACUGAGAUAAGGACCAGACUCCUACGGGAGGCAGCAGUGAGGAAUAUUGGACAAUGGUCGGAAGACUGAUCCAGCCAUGCCGCGUGUAGGAUGAAGGUCCUAUGGAUUGUAAACUGCUUUUGGAAGGGAAGAAUAAGGAGUACGUGUACUUUGAUGACGGUACCUUACGAAUAAGCAUCGGCUAACUCCGUG
This 480-nucleotide ribosomal RNA is filed under the name uncultured bacterium. Its description in RNAcentral is "partial 16S ribosomal RNA". It matches the Rfam family "Bacterial small subunit ribosomal RNA", at positions 28 to 507 of the family's 1533-position model. The record is from RNAcentral.